GUGUGUGGCUCAGUGGUAAAGCACUUGCCUAGCAUGUGUGAGGCACUGGGUUCGAUCCUCAGCAUCACA
This 69-nucleotide transfer RNA is filed under the name Marmota monax (woodchuck). RNAcentral describes it as "tRNA.Ala". Lineage: Eukaryota; Metazoa; Chordata; Mammalia; Rodentia; Sciuridae. The record is from RNAcentral.